CGCACGAUGUUCUUGUGCCGGAUGGAGCCCAGCGUGCGCACCUCCGCCGAGAACGAGUCCCGGCCGGCGUCCUUGAACGCGGCCGCCGCGGCCGUCGUGGCGGGCCACAGCUUCUUCACGGCGAUGGUCUCGCCGGAUUCCAGGCUCACGCGGUACACCACGCCGGACACGCCCUUGCCGAUGAUGUUGGCGUCGACCAGGCUGCGCACCACCUGCUCCACGGAGAAGCUCACCUUCUGGAACGGCGUGAACUGCCAGGGCCACCCCAGCUCCCCGCCACCGGCCUCCGAGUCGCUGCUCCCGCCACCACCAUUGCCCUUGACGCCCACCCCGCGCGCUCUGAGUAUGCCGAUCAUCCCGAGCACCAUCGCCACCGUCGCGGUCACCAGCAGCGCGAUGGCGAGCUUGAGCCGGUGCGCGCGCUGCGCAUCGUCGCUAGCGGUCACCGACAUCGGCCGGCCAUCGGCGUCCACACCAACGAAGCACACGUCGCCGCCUUUGGUGCACAGCCCCGAGUUCCCGGAGAGGCUGGACGCCGAGAGCUGCCGGAAUAGCUUCGUGUCCGGGAGCUGCGAUAUCCGCGCCGGGAUCGUGCCUGUGAGGCCAUUGCGGCUGAGGUUAAGGGCGAUGUCGAGGCCGGCGAGGCUGCAGAGCUCGUCGGGGAUGCUGCCGGAGAGGCGGUUGUCGCUUAGGUCGAGCAGCUCGAGCGCGCGGCACCGCCCGAGCGCCGCCGGUAUCGUCCCCGACAGCGCGUUGCCGGCGAGGACGAGACGGCUCAGCACCGCCAGCCUUCCGAAGGAUUCUGGCACGGGGCCGGCAAGCUGGUUGUGUGAGACGUCGAGCUCCUGCAGGCCGCGCACGCCGGCGAGCGAAUCUGGCAAGGCUCCAGUGAGCGUGUUGUUGCUGAGGUCGAGCAUCUGGAGCUGCGAGCAGUCGCCGAGCUGGGCGGGCACGGUGCCCGUGAGGCGGUUGCUGCCGAGGUCGAGGAAGACGAUGCUCUUCAUCCCGCCCACGGCCGCUGGAAUCUCCCCGGUGAUGCGGUUGCCGCCGAGCCUGAGCCGCACGAGGCUCGCCGCCUUCCCGAUCUCCGGCGGUAUCACGCCGGAGAUAUCGUUGGACAAGAUUAGCAGCUUGGUGAGGUUGCGCAGCAAGAAGAGCCCCGGCGGCACGGCACCGGUGAAGCGGUUGUGCGAGAGGUCGAGAGCCUGGAGGCUCGCCAUGGACGCGAGCGUGGCCGGGAUGGCGCCCUCGAGGCGGUUCUGCCACGCGAACAGCACCUGCAGGUUGGUCAGGCUCCGGCCGAGCUCCGGCGGGAUGAGGCCGGAGAUCUCGUUGGUGUCGAGCUGCAGCUGCACGAGCGCCGUCGCGUUGGCGAGCUGCACUGGGAUGGUGCCGGUGAUGUUGUUGUCACUGAGCAUCAGGUCCUGCAGCGCCGGCAGCCGGCCGAGCGACGCCGGGAUGACGCCGGAGAUGGAGUUGAUGGAGAGGUCGAGCGAGACGAGAGAGGUGAGGUUGCCGAAGCUGUCCGGGAUGGGGCCGGUGAGCGCGUUC
This 1551-nucleotide ribosomal RNA is filed under the name Triticum aestivum (bread wheat). Its description in RNAcentral is "partial small subunit ribosomal RNA". Lineage: Eukaryota; Viridiplantae; Streptophyta; Magnoliopsida; Poales; Poaceae. The record is from RNAcentral.